GAACGGUAGCACAGAGGAGCUUGCUCCUUGGGUGACGAGUGGCGGACGGGUGAGUAAUGUCUGGGAAACUGCCCGAUGGAGGGGGAUAACUACUGGAAACGGUAGCUAAUACCGCAUAACGUCUUCGGACCAAAGUGGGGGACCUUCGGGCCUCACACCAUCGGAUGUGCCCAGAUGGGAUUAGCUAGUAGGUGGGGUAAUGGCUCACCUAGGCGACGAUCCCUAGCUGGUCUGAGAGGAUGACCAGCCACACUGGAACUGAGACACGGUCCAGACUCCUACGGGAGGCAGCAGUGGGGAAUAUUGCACAAUGGGCGCAAGCCUGAUGCAGCCAUGCCGCGUGUAUGAAGAAGGCCUUCGGGUUGUAAAGUACUUUCAGCGAGGAGGAAGGUGUUGUGGUUAAUAACCGCAGCAAUUGACGUUACUCGCAGAAGAAGCACCGGCUAACUCCGUG
Molecule: ribosomal RNA, 454 nt
Filed under: uncultured bacterium
Lineage: Bacteria
Description: bacterial SSU rRNA
Rfam family: Bacterial small subunit ribosomal RNA
Source: RNAcentral